GAGGAUGUAGCUCAGCCGGUUAGAGCGCAAGUUUGUGGCACUUGAGGUCGGGGGUUCGAAACCCCUCAUUCUCC
This 74-nucleotide transfer RNA is filed under the name Saprospirales bacterium. Its description in RNAcentral is "tRNA-His". It matches the Rfam family "tRNA". From Rfam's summary of the family: Transfer RNA (tRNA) molecules are approximately 80 nucleotides in length. Their secondary structure includes four short double-helical elements and three loops (D, anti-codon, and T loops). The record is from RNAcentral. Lineage: Bacteria; Pseudomonadati; Bacteroidota; Saprospiria; Saprospirales.